AUCCUCUGUGAAGAAGUAUAAUAAUCCAAAUGACUACACGACUUCUUUGGUCUAUAAGAGGAAACCAAAAACAGGACGUCCCCAUUCACUCUCAUUACGGCGUUUUGAAGCCUAAAGAUGGCCGAUAUGGAAGCUGCCAUAUUGCGUGCGCUUACGCAGUAAAAGCAAAGUGGAGCCAUAACAGGAGCAGCAGAGGUGGGAGGCAAAACCCCGCCCACAUGUCCACCCGUAUUGGGGACGCCAUCAGAGGGCGUAAGAUACAUAACCGCUGUCGUCCUGUCCAUGCUUAUAUACAGUCUGUGGGGGGAACGCUGUAAGGCUCCUGUGGCCAGUACUUUUACACUUUUACUUAAAGAGUAAAAAGCUUGAGUUGAUACUUCAGCUUCUACAGUAAAGUAUUUAAAACACUAGUAUUUAUACUUCUAACUACAGAGUAAUAAAUGGGAAUACGUCUGACACAUUUGCUAAAUAGUCUCUCUCUAUACACAGCACAAUACUUAUGAGUCAGUUCGGUCACAGCCUGGGAUUCUGCUCUCCAGAAGUUGGUGAGGUUCUCUGCCAGCGCCACGCCCAUAGGAGAAUAACCACGCCCAUUGGUCUAAUUAUCUAUUUAACGAAGAUUUUGGUGGCGUUCGGAUUUCGUCUCUCUUGUAGGAACCGGAGGUCUGGUGCUGCGGUGCUGCGAAUAAAUGUAUUAUAUUAUCCUUGCCCCUGCUCCUAUCUUUCAGCUGGAGACCAGCAAGUUUUCGAAGAGGUCAUCUCUGAAGCUUUUCUCCAGAUUAUCGACUCUGCUGAGUAGUUUGCUUUCCAAACGUUUUAUUCGGUCUGUGGAGCGCUGCUUUUCUAACUGCUUGUCCAGUUUCUCCACAUGAGCAGAGAGGAGGUCCAUCUGUGCUUUUAGAUUUACCUCCACGUCUUCCUACAACUGCUGCUCUGUCCACAUCCUGAGCCUGGCUGCUUCCUCUUCCAGCUCCCUCAGCCCACUGGAAGUCCUGCACAGCCACCGAAAUUACAUAAUAGGUGCUGUUUUUCCCAUGGUCCAGCAACACAAUUGUGUAUAUUGUAUGAGUCAGAACUCUCCUGGGGUCUGCAUUAAUGAGGCUACAUACUUGAUGUUCGGACCUUCAAAACUGAAGACCUGGGUGGCUGUGGUAUCCCGGGUGCCCAGGUGGAUGUCAAGUGGAUGAUAAGGUCUCCGAUGCCGGUCAGGUUCUUGUGGUCCAGCUUUUGAACUGCAAACGUUGUUCCUGAUGCUACACUGUCCCUUUGAACAAUCUGAGCCUCCAGCACCUGCGAGUAACAGCUGCUUCAUUAUUUACUCUUUAAGAGCUUAUUAAACCAGCAGGCAUUACGAUGCAGUACAUCUGCUGUGUACACUACACUCAUAAAAAUAAAGGUGCUAGAAAUCUUA
Astyanax mexicanus (Mexican tetra) is the source of this 1411-nucleotide long non-coding RNA. RefSeq lists it as uncharacterized. Lineage: Eukaryota; Metazoa; Chordata; Actinopteri; Characiformes; Acestrorhamphidae. The record is from RefSeq and is a predicted model, not a curated record. The transcript has 8 exons.